CAAUAUGUCAGUUUCAUGAUUACCAAUGUAAAUAAUUUGUUAAUAUGUUAAUUUGUUAAUAUGUAAAAUGUUAAUAAUUGCAUACAUUCGGUUCGCUUAUAUGUUCCCAAGCAUUAAAAGGUACAUAUAUGUACCUUUUCCUUUAAAGGUUAAGGUACAAUAUCAAGAGCCAGCCCUGAUUGGCUGCUUGAUUUUCAAAUUAAAAGAACGUCCAGUUGGCGGUCUUUCUUUCGGCGGAGACGAAGUCAUAGCACGUAACAGGGCAGUAAAAUCAGCAGUGUAAUAUUAGCAGUGUAAAAAGUUAUUAAUUCCCAAAGAUUUCAAUUAACAAUCCACAGUGUUAAACAGUACUCGUGUUCAGUGUUGUUAUAUGGUGUAAUUUCACUUUUACACUAAAAGUGCGAAAUAAAAGACCCGCCGAAUUGUCUGGACUCCACCCUUCAGUGACUGCUGCCUCGCGAAGCGACAACGCCAUCUUUUCUUCGAGCGACCGAGACGUUGGUCGUCCUCUCGCCUCUGUUCCCUCCUCGGCCUGGGCUUACUGCGAAUCUGGCGCUGAAGACUGAAGCUGCUAACGUUAUAUUCGAAGCCUCAGAAGACCUUCAAGGAUCCAGUUGACCUCUGAAUCAGCUGUUAAGAAAAUGGGACAGUUAUAUUGCUUCAAUUGGUCUCCUACUUCAUUUGAUUCCACCAUCAUUACAAGGCUGCAAGGGAUCUGGAAAAAUGUCAUCCUGUCAAGCUGAAAAACAUCUUCAAAAAGGCACUAACAAGAACAGCUUGAUUGCAGAGAAGAGACCACACAGCCAUACACGCUCACUGAUGGGACGAUGAGGAACAUCAUUCAUGGAUGCUACACAACUCAAAUCUACACGUCAUAUUUGUUCAUGUCUAGGUAAAUUUGAUGAUUUUGUGUUUUUAUUAACUACUUUGUUUCUGUGCAACACUUAAUGAAUGUGACUGACUAAUUAACCUCUACACAUCUGGUAUAUGCUUUAAAGUUGCCACUUUGCCCAUUUGUUCAAUAAAUGUUGAAAUGUA
Molecule: long non-coding RNA, 1038 nt
Organism: Cyprinus carpio (common carp)
Lineage: Eukaryota; Metazoa; Chordata; Actinopteri; Cypriniformes; Cyprinidae
Exons: 5
Source: RefSeq, a predicted model, not a curated record